Molecule: ribosomal RNA, 430 nt
Filed under: bacterium
Lineage: Bacteria
Description: partial 16S ribosomal RNA
Rfam family: Bacterial small subunit ribosomal RNA
Source: RNAcentral
UGGGGAAUAUUGGACAAUGGGCGCAAGCCUGAUCCAGCCAUGCCGCGUGUGUGAAGAAGGCCUUUUGGUUGUAAAGCACUUUAAGCGAGGAGGAGGCUACUUGGAUUAAUACUCUAGGAUAGUGGACGUUACUCGCAGAAUAAGCACCGGCUAACUCUGUGCCAGCAGCCGCGGUAAUACAGAGGGUGCGAGCGUUAAUCGGAUUUACUGGGCGUAAAGCGUGCGUAGGCGGCUUCUUAAGUCGGAUGUGAAAUCCCUGAGCUUAACUUAGGAAUUGCAUUCGAUACUGGGAAGCUAGAGUCUGGGAGAGGAUGGUAGAAUUCCAGGUGUAGCGGUGAAAUGCGUAGAGAUCUGGAGGAAUACCGAUGGCGAAGGCAGCCAUCUGGCCUAAUACUGACGCUGAGGUACGAAAGCAUGGGGAGCAAACAGG